This 572-nucleotide long non-coding RNA is filed under the name Gossypium barbadense (sea-island cotton). Its description in RNAcentral is "long non-coding RNA (GBAR_LNC008624)". The record is from RNAcentral. Lineage: Eukaryota; Viridiplantae; Streptophyta; Magnoliopsida; Malvales; Malvaceae.
AGGGGCCGGAUUUGGUGAGAAUCCUUCCUCUUUCCUUUUAUUUGUUUUUUAUUUGUAUCUUUUUUAAUAGAUUUGUAUAAAAAAUAAAAGAAAUAUUAAAGAAGCAAGAAAACGAAAAAAUGAAAAUAAAGAGAACAAAAUCGAAGAUCAACCUUCUGUGUUUUUUUUGUUUGAUUCAUUGAAAAAUAUGCGAGUGAUACAAUUUUUUUGGAUCCCCCUUUUACAAUCAGUUUCAUUUCGGCUUUAUAGCCGAUUCCCAUAUUAAAAUAUUGUUUGUUUUAUUCUCUGUUACUGCUUGUGCUUCUUGCUGCCAUCUUUUCUUCUUUUCCAAAUUUUUGCAGGUUAUGGGAGUGUCAGGCGCAUUGAGGAGGAGGGCAUGCGCGGGGUGUGGUGGCCCGAACAGUGGUGGUGGCGUGCGUGAUGGCCAAGGGCAGAGGGGGCAUGCGGCUGAACUUUGGUGGCUGCAUCUUGGGUUGCUGCUGAAAAACCUUAAGCAAGUGGGCUGUUAUUUGGGCUAGGGUUUGAUGUAAAUUGGACUGUUUAAUAUUAUAAAUGGGCUAUUUAUUUUAGAC